GCUCAAUCUUUUCUACCUGUUCUUGAAUUUUUUUCAACGCAAUUUUGCUUUCUUUUCUGCAGCUAUGUAUAUAUUAAAGAACCCAUAAUAAGGAUUUUCGUGUUCUGGGUUUGGGGUAUUUCAAUUUAUUUUUUUGGUUCUUUAGGAUAUUUGAUUUUUUGGAAGUAUGAAUUAUGUGAAUUGAUGUUACAUGGCCUUAAUCUUUUUAUUUUGAUGAGUUAUUUAACGAAAUAUCAUGAAGUUGAAUAAUUUUAAUGAAAAUAAAGAUUGAGUUGAUUGAUGUCUUGAUUCGAAUGCCUGCUGCAUAAUCUUGUGUACUUGUUCUUUCUGGUUCAUUUGGCUUUGCUGAAUAUUUAUUAUUUGUAAAGAUUUGUGAACAGGGGAAAUGGCUCUCGCAUUGAUUGGAGAAUCAAUUCUUGCUGCAGUCCUUGAAGUUUUGAUGGAGAGGAUAGUUUCUCCUGCGGUUAGGGACUUCUUCAAGAGCCAAAAAAUCGAUGAUGAAGAAUUGAAGAAGUUGAAGGCAAGGAUGAGGUCUGUUAGUAAACUGCUCAAUGAUGCAGAGGAGAAGCAGAUUACUGAUGCAGCUGUGAAAGAGUGGCUUGAUGAGCUUAAGGAUGCUGUCUAUCAAGCUGAUGACUUCUUGGAUGAGAUUGCUUAUAAAGCUUUGCGGUUGAAGUUGGAAGGUGAAUCUCGAAGUCAGACCUGCACGGAUCAGCUUCGAAGCUUUCUCGCUUCUCUUAAUCCAUGUAGAAAGGGGGUGAGAGAGGUGCAAAUAGAGUUGGCAAAGAUCCUUCGAAGUUUAGAAGAGUUAGUGGGACAAAAGGAUGUUCUUGGUCUGAUAGAGCGCAUUGGGGAGAAACCAUCGUCGCGGAUAACACCAACUUCUUCUCUGGUAGAUGAAUCUGGAGUUUAUGGAAGGGAUGCUGAAAAAGAAGCCAUAAUGAAGUUGCUGCUAGCAGAUGAUACAAAAGGCAGGCACCUAGAUGUGAUUUCGAUAGUGGGUAUGGGAGGGGUUGGUAAAACCACCCUUGCUCAGCUUCUCUAUAAAGAAAUUGUUGUUUCCAACGACAGAAGCCAGAAGAGCUCGUUUGAUCUCAAAGCCUGGGUUUAUGUUUCGGAAGAAUUCGAUGUUCUCAAAGUAACAAAAGAUAUUCUGAAGGGGGUUGGCUCGAUGAAUUGUGACAACAUGACUGAAGAUCAACUCCAUUGCGAGCUGGAGAAGAAAUUGUCAGGGAACAAACUAUUGCUUGUUCUAGAUGAUGUUUGGAGCGAUAACCAAUCUCAGUGGGAAUUUUUACUGAAACCUUUCAUGUCCGUGAGACAGGGAAUUAAAAUUAUCGUUACAACGCGCAAUGAAAACGUAGCAUCAAUCAUUUCUUCUGUUUCAACUCAUCAUAUAAAGAAGUUAUCUGACGAUGAUUGUUGGUUGGUGUUGUCAAAACAUGCAUUUGAUGGUGGAAAUCUCAGUGCCCAUCCAGAGUUGGAAUUAAUUGGUAGACAGAUAGCGAGGAAGUGCAACGGCCUACCUUUGGCUGCAAAAACACUUGGGAGUCUCCUGUGCUCCAAUAGAGUUAAGAAGGAGUGGAUGAAGAUAUUAAAGAGUAAUUUUUGGGAAUUGCCAAAUGACAACAUUCUGUCACCUCUACGGUUGAGUUAUCAUCAUCUCCCAUCUCAUUUAAAACGAUGCUUUUCAUACUGCGCUAUAAUUCCGAAGGGUUAUAAAUUCACAAGGGAGGAGAUAGUCCUUUUAUGGAUGGCAGAGGGCUUUUUGGUGGAACCCAGAAGAAAUAAUGAGAUGGAAGAAAUAGGCUAUGAGUACUUCAAUGAGCUUGUGGCAAGGUCAUUUUUUCAGCAAUCAAGUCCUAGUUCAUCAUUAUUCGUAAUGCAUGACCUCAUUAAUGAUUUAGCUAGAUUUGCAUCCGGAGAUUUUUGCUUCAGGCUAGAAGGUGAUGAUUCAAGCAAGACUACUGAAAGGACUCGCCAUUUAUCAUACAGAGUAGCAAAAGAUGACUCUUAUCAGACAUUCAAGGCAAUCAAGAACCCCCAAUUGCUGCGCACCUUGCUAUGUCCGAGUGGUUGGCCUAGACACAUGAUACAACAAGUUGAGGUAAUAUGUAAUUUAUUGCCUGCACUCAAGUGCCUCAGAGUGCUAUCAUUGCACCCCUUUCAUGAUAUAUCUGUGUUGCCUAAUUCAAUUUGCAACUUGAAGCAUUUACGGUAUCUUGAUCUCUCUCACACAAAGAUUACAAGGCUCCCUGAAUCAAUGUGCAGUCUGUAUAAUUUGGAAAUUUUGAACUUGCACUUUUGUGUUAAGCUUGUUGAGUUGCCAGUUAACAUGAGAAGCUUAAUCAACUUGCGUCAUCUUGAUCUUCAACACACAAAAUUGCCAGAGAUGCCACUGCAAAUGGGUAAACUAACAAAGCUUCGAAAAUUAACUGAUUUCUUUAUCGGAAAACAAAGUGGCUCUAACAUUAAAGAGUUGGGAAAGCUUCAACAUCUAUCUGGUGAUCUUUCUAUUUGGAAUCUUCAAAAUGUCACAGAUGCUCGAGAUUCUUUUGAAGCGAAUUUGAAGGGUAAAGAGCAUCUUGAGAAGUUGGAGUUAGUAUGGGAUUGUGAUAUGGAUAAUCCACUCGUCCAUGAAAGGGUACUUGAGCAACUUCAACCUCCUGUGAAUGUCAAAAUUCUCUCCAUUAUUGGGUAUGGAGGUACAAGAUUUCCAGAUUGGGUUGGGAACUCCUCUCUUCCUCUCCUCCAAGAGCUUUACAUCAGAAGCUGCCCCAACCUGAAGAAGGCCCUCUUUACUCACUUCCCUUCUUUAACCAAACUUGAUAUCAGGGCAUGUGAGCAGUUUGAGAUCGAGUUUUUCCCAUUAGAGUUGUUCCCUAAAUUAGAAUCUCUUACUAUUGGUAGUUGUCCUAAUUUAGUAUCUUUCAGCAAAGGAAUACCCCUUGCCCCAAAUUUGAAAGAGUUUCAGUUAUGGAGUUGUUCAAAUUUGAAGUCAUUGCCUGAGAAUAUGCAUACACUUCUACCUUCCCUUGAGAAAUUGUCCAUAUUUCAUUGUCCGAAACUCGAGUCAUUUCCAGUAGGGGGUUUGCCCUCCAAACUUAAAGGACUUGCUAUUUGGGGUUGCGACAAACUCAUUGCAGGCCGCGCACAAUGGGAUUUGCAAUCACUCCAUGUUCUUUCAAGAUUUUCAAUUGCAGACAAUGAUGUUUUGGAGUGCUUCCCUGAGGAGACGCUACUGCCCUCAAGCCUUACCCGUCUUGAAAUCAGGACACAUAAAAAUCUGAAAUCUCUUGACUACAAGGGACUUCAACACCUCACCUCUCUUAGAGAGUUGAUAAUUAUGAACUGCAUGGAGGUUUCCAUGCCAGAAGAGGGGCUGCCCCCCUCCAUUUCUUCUCUAACUAUCUGGCAAUGUCCUUUGCUGGAAAAGAAGUGUGAAGGGGAGCUGAAGUUCCCAAAAUACAUCAGAGAUCCAGAAUAUAUGACAUCAGGAAGAAAAUCAAUUUAAUCCAACUUGAUGAGGCGGUCUGAGGAACUACUUCACAACUAUAAAUGGGAAAUAAAACAACUUAUCAGCACACAAAAGAUGACUAGGGUUAUUUUCUAUUCUGUUGGGUACUAUCUUCCCAAGUGCCUUCCAGAAGGACUUGCAUAUAUACUUUUAAUUUUGCAAAGCUUGGCAUGUCUCGGGAGGGGUUCUGGUCCAAAAGAGCAACGAGGAGAAGGAAGCUUGCGUAUGCUUUCAUACUUUCAAAUGUGAAACUAUUCCUUUUGAACUUCAAAUCGAGUGUAUUUGAGGAAAGCAGGGACCCUCGGGCGCAUCGUUGGAAUUUUCCUAGUUGUCUAAUAGUGCAAACUGUCUCUGCUCAAGUAAGCUUGGUCUGCCUUGAUCUAAAUUGCUGGGUCAUUAUUUUGUACUUGUUCUUGACUUUGUAUUUCGUGACAUUGCCGGCCUGUAAAAUUUAAUUUGGUCGAGUUAAUGAUGUUGAUGCAACUUAAUGAAUUAUGCUAUUUUUUAAAAUAAUUUUUUUAGUAA
RNA transcript from Populus trichocarpa (black cottonwood), 4042 nucleotides. It is a transcript of the gene named putative disease resistance RPP13-like protein 1, with no coding region annotated. Lineage: Eukaryota; Viridiplantae; Streptophyta; Magnoliopsida; Malpighiales; Salicaceae. The record is from RefSeq and is a predicted model, not a curated record. The transcript has 3 exons.